RNAcentral lists this ribosomal RNA (498 nucleotides) under Marinobacter pelagius. Its description in RNAcentral is "bacterial SSU rRNA". It matches the Rfam family "Bacterial small subunit ribosomal RNA", at positions 34 to 524 of the family's 1533-position model. The record is from RNAcentral. Lineage: Bacteria; Pseudomonadati; Pseudomonadota; Gammaproteobacteria; Pseudomonadales; Marinobacteraceae.
CCCGGGGGCGGCAGCUUACACAUGCAGUCGAGCGGUAACAGGGGUAGCUUGCUACCCGCUGACGAGCGGCGGACGGGUGAGUAAUGCAUAGGAAUCUGCCCAGUAGUUGGGGAUAGCCCGGGGAAACCCGGAUUAAUACCGAAUACGCCCUACGGGGGAAAGCAGGGGAUCUUUGGACCUUGCGCUAUUGGAUGAGCCUAUGUCGGAUUAGCUAGUUGGUGGGGUAAAGGCCUACCAAGGCGACGAUCCGUAGCUGGUCUGAGAGGAUGAUCAGCCACAUCGGGACUGAGACACGGCCCGAACUCCUACGGGAGGCAGCAGUGGGGAAUAUUGGACAAUGGGGGCAACCCUGAUCCAGCCAUGCCGCGUGUGUGAAGAAGGCUUUCGGGUUGUAAAGCACUUUCAGUGAGGAGGAAAACCUUAUGGCUAAUACCCAUGAGGCUUGACGUUACUCACAGAAGAAGCACCGGCUAACUCCGUGCCAGCAGCCGCGGUAAU